GGAACUCAUGAGUGGCGUGCUAAUAUAUUAUUUGAUGAUAUACAUGAUGUCAUUCAACCUGAAAGCUAAUUGUGGAAUACUAGGCUUAUGAAAAGCUCACAAAUUUUCUUUCUUUUUGAGUGAUAUCAUGUGUAUCGUCCAAUCAUAUAUAGAUGUCUCUCAUGAGAGACUUCAUAUAAGAAGGGAUGCUCCAAUAUAUGUGCUGGUUAUUUUUCAUACCUCUCAUUUGUUUGUAUGUACCUCCAUUUGAAUCCUCUAUGACACUGCACAAGAAAUUCCGUUUCAUCUACCAUCUUUGUUUUGAGAUUAGUAGGUUCAUAACCAUGUAUAUUGCUUGAUGUAUCUUUCUAGGGGGAAACAUUUUAAUGAUUUUGCUCUAUUCCACCAACUUUUAAUGUAAUUGACCAACCCAAGGACAUUAAAUACAACUUGUAUUCAUAAUGAAACUUCAACGAUGGUUGCAAAAUUAAACUCUUUAUCCUAUUCAAUCAUAUAUUUCAAAUAGUUUGAUAAGUUUUGAUGGUAAAAAAAUAAAUUAAUUGAGGAGUGCAAUUUCAUUAUUAUGGUAUUAUACAUGUUUGUGAUCUGAAUAAGGCUUACAUUAGGCAUAUUCUAACAAUUUCCCUGUUAUAAUUGUUACUCUAACUAUAUAAUUCUUAUAAUUAUCUUCAUUUUAUCAUUAUUUUCAUUAAUUUUAAAAUUAUAUUUUUCAUUCUCAACAUUACUCUUAUAACUUAUUGUUGCUUUAUUUCAAAUUUCUUACAUAUGAAACUUUUUAUAUAAUAUACAAGGUAUUAAAUUAGAAGCUCAAACACAUUAAUGUAAAGGAAAAAAUGACAAAGUUUUGUUAAAAGAGUUCUAAACUAUUCAGUCAAUUGGCCCAUCUUCUUUUUUAAAGAACGUAGCCUAAAAUUUGUCCAAAGUUACGGACAAAACCAAGAAGCCCUUUAGAAUUAGGUUAUAAUAGAUUUCUCAAAACAAAACAUCCUAAAACCUACUUCUCAUUAGCUGCUACACUCCAUCUCUCUCCCUGGCUUCUUUGAGAAUAUGUUCACCCCUAUCUCAGUAUUGGCAGGGCUAUGCAUUGUUAUUUUUAUGCAAAAAUGUGUUUCUAUGUUCCUCUAUAUUUACUUUUGAACUUGCCAAUCAUUAAAAGAUGACAAUUUUUUUUGAGAUUUUGUUUCUCUAAUAUGAAUAAUAAAUUUUAAGAUAUUCGAAUAACUUACAUUAAAAAUUCAAAUAGAUACUUUCGAUCCCACUCAAGGAACUCUAACUCUAAGUUUUUCCUUUAAAUACUUGUGUUUGGAUUUCAUUUUGGACAUGUUCUCAUAUGCAUAAGUAGUAUCAUGAAAGUCUUACAUUUUGAUAUCUUAUCACACACAACCUACACUUUCAUCAUCAAACUAAUACAUUAAACUUUUACUUCUUUAUAAGUCUUCAUUUUUAUUUUUCUUUUCUUUUCUGUCCAUAACAGAGACAUUUAAAUUUAUGAUAGUUCGAAAUCUGUUCUUGAGGAGAUAGAUCCGAAGUUGGUACUGCCUAGUUCACUGCCAAGAAAAAAGGUUAGAUUUAUUAUGAAUUCCUAAUUUUUUGUAGAAAUCUAUCUGAAUUUAGGAACUAAGGGAUCUGUUAGAAUUUAGGAGCUAUGAGAUCUGUUAGCUAAUGCUAAGUUAUAAACUCUUAUAUUAUAUGUUUAUAUUGGUUCUACUUUUAUUAUGAACACAUAUAAAUUUUAUUGAGACAUAUGAUUAAAUAAGAUAAUAGACUUUUUUAUGUUUUCCUUUUUUAGUUGUCGUUGGAGUUCCUUAAUGAAUACAAAUUAUAUUUUUGUCCUCGUGUUGAUUUAUUAGAAAAAGAGUUUGAUGAAUGGAGUUUUCACCACUAGAAAGAUAGAUCAAAAAUAAUAUGCAUGAUAUUGAACCUACAAACCUAAAUAAAUAAGUAGUAGAUUAAGAGGAAUUCACUGUGUUGUGUGGUAGAUGUUUCAAAUGAGUAUACGUACCUACAAAGGCGAUAUAUGAAAAGAUAAGGAUACACACGUUGGAACAUCCCUUCUAUUGUGAAGAAUCUCAUGAGUGGUGUGCUAAUAUAUCAUCUAAUGAUAUACAUGAUGUCAUUCAACCUGAAAGCUAAUUGUGGAAUACUAGGCUUAUCAAAAGCCCACAAACUUCUUUCUUUUUGAGUGAUAUCAUGUGUGUCGUCCAAUCAUAUAUAGAUGUCUCUCAUGAGAGACUUCAUAUAAGAAGGGAUGUUCCAAUAUAUGUGCUGUUAAUAUUUCAUACCUCUCAUUUGUUUGUAUGUACCUCCAUUUGAAUCCUCUAUGACACUGCACAACAAAUUCCUUUUCAUCUACCACUUUGUUUUGAGAUUAGUAGGUUCAUAACCAUGUAUAUUGCUUGAUGUAUCUUUCUAGGGGGAAACAUUUUAAUGAUUUUGCUCUAUUCAACCAACUUUUAAUGUAACUGACCAACCCAAGGACAUUAAAUACAACUUGUAUUCAUUAUGAAACUUCAACGAUGGUUACAAAAUUAAACUCUUUAUCCCAUUCAAUCAUAUAUUUCAAAUAGUUUGGUAGGUUUUGAUGGUAAAAAAUAAAAAUUAAUUGAGGAGUGCAAUUUCAUUACUAUGCUAUUAUAUAUGUUUGUGAUCUGAAUAAGGCUUACAUUAGGCAUAUUCUAACAUUUUCCCUGUUAUAUUUGUUACUCUAACUAUAUAAUUCUUAUAAUUAUCUUCAUUUUAUCAUUAUUUUCAUUAAUUUUUAAAAUUAUUUCAUUUUCAACAUUACUAUUAUAACUUAUUGUUGUUGCUUUAUUUCAAAUUUCUUACAUAUGAAACUUUUUAUAAAUAUAAAAGGUAUAAAAUGAGAAGCUCAUACGAAUUAACGUAAAGGAAAAAAAUGACAAAAUUCGGUCAAAAGAGUUAUAAACUAUUCUAUCAAUUGGACCAUCUUCUUUUUUAAAAAACGCACCAAAAUUUGUCCAAAGUUACGGACAAAACCUAGAAGCCCUUUAGAAUAAGGUUAUAUUAGAUUUCUCAAAAUAAAACAUCCUAAAACCUACUUCUCAUCAGCUGCUACACUCCAUCUCUCUCCCUGGCUUCUUUGAGAAUAUGUUCACCCCUAUCUCAGUAUUGGCAGCGCUAUGCAUUGUUAUUUUUAUGGAAAAAUGUUGCUAUGUUCCUCUCUAUUCAUUUUGAAGUUGCCAAUCAUGAAAAGAUGACAAUUAUUUGUUUUUGAGAUUUUGUUUUUCAAAUAUGAAAAAUUGAUUUUCGGAUAUUUGAACAACUUUUAUUCAAAAUUCAAAUAGAUACUUUCGUUUCCCGCUCAACGAACUCUAACUUUAAGUUUGUCCAUUAAAUACUAGAGUUUGUAUUUCAUUUUGGACAUGUUCUGAUAUGCAUAAGUAGUAUCGUGAAAGUCUUAAAUUUUUAUAUCUUAUUACACACGACGUACACUUUCAUCAUUAAGCUACUACUUUAAGCUUUUAUUUUUUUAUAAGUCUUCAUUUUGUUUUAUUUUUUGUUUUCUGUACAUAAAAGAGACAUUUAAAUUUAUUCAAGUUCGAAAUCUAUUUUUGAGGAGAUAGAUCCUAAGCUUUUAUUGCCUAGUUCACUGCCAAGAAAAACGAUAGAUUUGUUAUGAAUUCUUAAAUUUUUAUAGAAAUCUAUCAGAAUAUAGGAGCUAAGGGAUCUGUUAGAAUUUAGGAGCUAUGGGAUUUGUAAGCAAAUGUUACGUUAUAAACUCUUAUAAUAUAUGUAUAUAACGCUUCUACUUUUAUUAUAAACACAUAUAAUUUUUAUUGAGACAAAUGAUUAAAUAACAUAAUAGACUUUUUUAUGUUGCGCCUUUUUUAAUUGCAGGUGAAAUUCCCAAAUGAAUACAAAUUAUAUUUUUUAUCUUCGGGUUGAUUGAUCAGAACAAGACUUUGAUUAAUGGAGUUUUCACCCCUAGAAAGAUAGAUAAAAAUAAUAUACAUUACAUGAAACCAGCAAACCACAAAAACAAGUAGUAGAUUAAGAGGAAUUCACGUGAUAUAUGAAAAGAUAAGGAUACACAUGCUGGAACAUCACUUUAUUGUGAAGAAACUCAUUAGUGGCGUGCUAAUAUAUAAUCUGAUGAUUCACUUGAUGUCAUUCAACUUGAAAGCUAAUUUUGGAAUACUAGGCUUAUCAAAAGCCCACAAUUUUCUUUCUUUUUGAGUGAUAUCAUAUGUAUCGUCCAAUUAUAUAUAGAUCUCUUUAAUGAGAGACUCAAUAUAAGAAGGGAUGUUCCAAUAUAUGUGCUGUUAUUUUUUCAUACCUCUCCUUUGUUUGAAUGUACUUCCAUUUGAAUCAUCUAUCACACUACACAACAAAUUCCUUUCAUCUACCAUCUUUCUUUUGAGAUUAGUAUGUUCAUAACCAUUAAUAUAGUUUUGAUGUAUCUUUUAGGGGGGGAAACAUUUUAAUGAUUUUGCUCCCUUCAACCAACUCUUAAUGUAAUUGACCAACCCGAGGACAUAAAAUACAACUUGUAUUCAUUAUGAAAGUCCAACGAUAGUUACAAAAUUAAACUCUUUAUCCUAUUCAAUCAUAUAUUUAAAAAAGUUUGAUAUGUGU
RNAcentral lists this long non-coding RNA (4596 nucleotides) under Solanum lycopersicum (tomato). RNAcentral's name for it is "long non-coding RNA (SLYC_LNC000224)". The record is from RNAcentral. Lineage: Eukaryota; Viridiplantae; Streptophyta; Magnoliopsida; Solanales; Solanaceae.